AACUUUUGGCACCGGAUCACUUGGCUCUCGCAUCGAUGAAGAACGCAGCGAAAUGCGAUAAGUAAUGUGAAUUGCAGAAUUCAGUGAAUCAUCGAAUCUUUGAACGCACCUUGCGCCCUUUGGCUAUUCCGAAGGGCAUGCCUGUUUGAGUAUCAUGAACACCUCAACUCUCAUGGCUUGCCAUGAUGAGCUUGGACUUUGGGGGUCUUGUUGGCCUGUGAGCCAGCUCCCCUUAAAUGGAUUAGCUUGCCGGUGUUUGGUGGCAUCACAGGUGUGAUAACUAUCUACGCUUGUGGUUUCCCAUCAGGUAACCUUCAGCAAUGGAGGUUCGCCGGGGCUUAUAAAUGUCUCUCCUCAGCGAGGACAGAUUUUGACCAUUUGAUCUCAAAUCAGGUAGGACUACCCGCUGAACUUAAGCAUAUCAAUAAGCGGAGGCU
Molecule: unclassified non-coding RNA, 437 nt
Filed under: uncultured Thelephoraceae
Lineage: Eukaryota; Fungi; Basidiomycota; Agaricomycetes; Thelephorales; Thelephoraceae
Description: sequence contains ITS2
Rfam family: 5.8S ribosomal RNA (bases 1-155)
Source: RNAcentral